GACGAACGCGGCGGCGUGCCUAAUACAUGCAAGUGGGACGCAAGGGAACACACUGUGCUUGCACACCGUGUUUUCUUGAGUCGCGAACGGGUGAGUAACGCGUAGGUAACCUGCCUAUUAGCGGGGGAUAACUAUUGGAAACGAUAGCUAAUACCGCAUAAUAUUAAUUAUUGCAUGAUAAUUGAUUGAAAGAUGCAAGCGCAUCACUAGUAGAUGGACCUGCGUUGUAUUAGCUAGUUGGUAAGGUAAGAGCUUACCAAGGCGACGAUACAUAGCCGACCUGAGAGGGUGAUCGGCCACACUGGGACUGAGACACGGCCCAGACUCCUACGGGAGGCAGCAGUAGGGAAUCUUCGGCAAUGGACGAAAGUCUGACCGAGCAACGCCGCGUGAGUGAAGAAGGUUUUCGGAUCGUAAAGCUCUGUUGUAAGUCAAGAACGUGUGUGAGAGUGGAAAGUUCACACAGUGACGGAGCUACCAGAAAGGCGCA
Molecule: ribosomal RNA, 490 nt
Filed under: Streptococcus mutans
Lineage: Bacteria; Bacillati; Bacillota; Bacilli; Lactobacillales; Streptococcaceae
Description: bacterial SSU rRNA
Rfam family: Bacterial small subunit ribosomal RNA
Source: RNAcentral